Molecule: ribosomal RNA, 465 nt
Filed under: Vreelandella stevensii
Lineage: Bacteria; Pseudomonadati; Pseudomonadota; Gammaproteobacteria; Oceanospirillales; Halomonadaceae
Description: partial 16S ribosomal RNA
Rfam family: Bacterial small subunit ribosomal RNA
Source: RNAcentral
CCUACGGGUGGCAGCAGUGGGGAAUAUUGGACAAUGGGGGGAACCCUGAUCCAGCCAUGCCGCGUGUGUGAAGAAGGCCCUCGGGUUGUAAAGCACUUUCAGUGAGGAAGAACGCCUGGUGGUUAAUACCCAUCAGGAAAGACAUCACUCACAGAAGAAGCACCGGCUAACUCCGUGCCAGCAGCCGCGGUAAUACGGAGGGUGCGAGCGUUAAUCGGAAUUACUGGGCGUAAAGCGCGCGUAGGUGGCUUGAUAAGCCGGUUGUGAAAGCCCCGGGCUCAACCUGGGAACGGCAUCCGGAACUGUCAAGCUAGAGUGCAGGAGAGGAAGGUAGAAGUCCCGGUGUAGCGGUGAAAUGCGUAGAGAUCGGGAGGAAUACCAGUGGCGAAGGCGGCCUUCUGGACUGACACUGACACUGAGGUGCGAAAGCGUGGGUAGCAAACAGGAUUAGAUACCCCGGUAGUC